GGCAGUUUUACUCUGCUGGUUUCAAAUAUGGUUUCAUUGAGAAUCAGCAAACAGCUGAUUUGACUUGAUAUUGUUUGGCUUGCGGAUUCUAGGACCCCAAGCAUGCUUAAGUCACUAUACCAGUUGGUUCGUGCCUUUCUCAAUGAUGAUGUUCAAGUUAACAUCCGAAUGGCCUGUAGUCAUGGGGAGCUCUGAUUCUGCCCUGUGGGCUGGAAGUUCACAAAGCCUGGGGCUGGUCUUUGAUGAACCCUCUUCCUCAUUCUGCCCUUCCUCUGCCCUCUCAGAUGCAAGGUAACCUCAGCACAUCAAAGAGAGGAUCCAUACAGAGUCCACUUGAUGCUAUUACCCCCAAAACACACACUUGCAACCCCCACCUCUCCUUGCGCACACAUACACCAGCAAGUGCAUACACUUUACAUUUGAAAAAAAUAAAUGAAAAAGAUUCACCUAUCCCAUCUGUAUGGCUAUCUAUUGGUCUCCUUGCCCUCUAUUUGUCCUGGUGUGGUAGGAAGUGGCUCACUGGGUGAUUUUCACCAUCUUUUGUGAUGUGAAAUGAAAGGGGAGGUUUAAAUUUGCUGCUGUAAGACCCUCGGGGCAACAAUUCAGGUGCCCAAGACGAUGUACGGCAGAGAUGAAGAUGCCACCACCCAAAGGUGUGUAUGUGCUGGGCCAUAGGUAAGCAUGAAUAUCUCUCAUCAGCCUAGUGUUCUCCCGGCAGGCCUGACCCGUGGAGUCAUUAACUCUACAGGUAAAUCACCUCGCAAUCAGUGUGUCUGAAGCCCCCUGCUCUCCAGAUGAUUCCCCUGCUGAUUGGCCUAACUGGACUCCUGUCUGAGGAACGAUUUCCUUGCAUUGUUUUCUUUAUGGCACAUAGAUUGAGCUGGUGAAGGCAGCGUGUGUGAGGAUGUGCUCUGAGGUCGCUCUCUCUUCGUAACAGGAAAAGCACAGGCGAGCUUUCAUUCUAAUGAUUUUGAAUGAGCCCUUGAAAUGGCAAACUGAUUUCUUGAAGAGGAAAUUGUAGCCAAGUUGGUCGAGGUUACGGCCAGAUUCAUCAAUGCCACAACUGGAGAGUGAAAUGUUCUAGAAAUAUUUGGAACGUUGUUAGUGAGAUUGUAUUUGGCGUUGAUGCUAGAAGAGGGCACUACUUUGACACUACUUACAAAUGAGCUUUUAUAAGCCUGAGUUCCAGUUCCAAGUUCCAG
Long non-coding RNA from Cyprinus carpio carpio, 1202 nucleotides. The record is from Ensembl. Lineage: Eukaryota; Metazoa; Chordata; Actinopteri; Cypriniformes; Cyprinidae.